UACUGACACAAGUAUGUAGUCACCGUGGUGUUCCUCUCUCCUGACACAAGUAUGUAGUCACCGUGGUGUUCCUCUCUCCUGACACAAGUAUGUAGACACCGUGGUGUUCCCCUCUCCUGACACAAGUAUGUAGACACCGUGGUGUUCCCCUCUCCUGACACAAGUAUGUAGUCACCGUGGUGUUCCUCUCUCCUGACACAAGUAUGUAGUCACCGUGGUGUUCCCCUCUCCUGACACAGGUAUGUAGACACCGUGGUGUUCCCCUCUCCUGACACAAGUAUGUAGUCACCGUGGUGUUCCUCUCUCCUGACACAAGUAUGUAGUCACCGUGGUGUUCCCCUCUCCUGACACAAGUAUGUAGACACCGUGGUGUUCCUCUCUCCUGACACAAGUAUGUAGUCACCGUGGUGUUCCCCUCUCCUGACACAAGUAUGUAGUCACCGUGGUGUUCCCCUCUCCUGACACAAAUAUGUAGACACCGUGGUGUUCCCCUCUCCUGACACAAGUAUGUAGACACCGUGGUGUUCCCCUCUCCUGACACAAGUAUGUAGUCACCGUGGUGUUCCCCUCUCCU
Long non-coding RNA from Pecten maximus, 574 nucleotides. RefSeq lists it as uncharacterized. The record is from RefSeq and is a predicted model, not a curated record. The transcript has 2 exons. Lineage: Eukaryota; Metazoa; Mollusca; Bivalvia; Pectinida; Pectinidae.